Molecule: long non-coding RNA, 1076 nt
Organism: Nerophis lumbriciformis (worm pipefish)
Lineage: Eukaryota; Metazoa; Chordata; Actinopteri; Syngnathiformes; Syngnathidae
Source: RefSeq, a predicted model, not a curated record
CGGGACAUCAAGCCUUGUUGCCACGUCGCACCACGGCACUGUCCCAAAACCAGGUCUGGGAGGAGGAUUCCCAGGACUGCAAUAUUUCCUCCAUCAAGGUCUGGAACAGGCAAGUGCUUCUUUGAUUUGAACGCUAAUAAACACAAAGUGUCCAUAACACUCCCAUGUCUUUGAAGUCCCAGGUACCGGCCUUCUUUCUCCAAGCACACCUUUCAGCCAACGGUGAGGAGCUUAAACAGUUGUGGAUCCAGUGGGAAUCCCAAUGAAGCAGCAGUAGCUCUGAUCUCGCCCCCUCGCCUUUGUACACCAGAUGGGACACGCGGAGAGAGGUGUUGAAGAAGGUGUUGGGGCUCUUGAUGGAGGAAGACAGAGCAGCAAGUCUCAUACUCCUGGAAGACGCAUCCAGUUUGUCCUCCUGAAAGACCAGACAACACAGCCACAUGUGGGCUGGAGCCUACCCCAGCUGACUUUGGACAAGAGGUGAGUAGACCCUGGACUGAUCGCAAGUCAAUUAUUUUAUCUUGAGAAUGACUUUCUUUAAUUUUGGUGUUGAAUGCUGUAACUGUUGCUACUAAUAAUUCAUAUAAUUUGUUUUAUUUCUCUAAAAACAGAAUAAUAAGUUAAGUUCAUAAAAGGGAAUUCAAAUCAAAAUGCAUAAAGGUUCAUAAGAAGGCUAUAUUUAAAUUACUAUGGUUAAAAAUGUAAUGUCAUGCCUUUUUGUUAAGUUUGUGGGCAUACUUUUAUUUUGAAGUGUCUCGUUUGGUCUGUCGUCUGAUGUAAGGAAGCUACUUCCGGGUAUGAGUAGACAUUUUUCAUGCCAUGUGAAGGCAGAAAGAGAGAAACUGAUUGUCACAAAGACUAAAAAGUGUCACAAGGACUUCAAGCGUUUGGGCUAUAAGAGUCUGAAGAUCACAAUUUCCUCCUAAAAGAAGCAUGCAGGCCAACGAGGUAUUUGUUUGUCAUUUCUAUUUGUAUUUACUUCGGUAAAAUGUUCGAUCCACAUGCUGUGCAUGUUGUUAUUUUUACGUUUAUAACGUGCUUUAUUUUAUUUCAGUUUUCACGGUGAAUUUGAAGGG